UAUAUUUUUCGUGUUGAUGAGAAUAGAAUCACGAGUCUCUACCGCAGGAUCCAGGUGUAAUGUUAUGUAUGGAUUCCAAACUAUCUAUGUUGCAGCCUGCACUUAUAUGCAUGUAUUUCAAGCUAGUAUAAUGUUAGGUAUGAUCCCAAACUAUCUUCCCUUUUAAGUAUGUAUCCCGCCCAAACUAGUAUAAUGUUUGUAUGGAUUCCAAACUAUCUAUGUUGCAGCCUGCGCCUAUAUAUAUGUGUUCCAAACUAGUAUUAUGGAUUCAAAACUAUUUAUGUUGCAUCCUUGCACUUGUAUGUCAAUAAUGACGUGGUUUACGUUCGUUGAAGCAUUUAGAGCAUAGUUUG
Molecule: long non-coding RNA, 353 nt
Filed under: Trifolium pratense (red clover)
Lineage: Eukaryota; Viridiplantae; Streptophyta; Magnoliopsida; Fabales; Fabaceae
Description: long non-coding RNA (TPRA_LNC002289)
Source: RNAcentral